RNAcentral lists this ribosomal RNA (497 nucleotides) under uncultured bacterium. RNAcentral's name for it is "partial 16S ribosomal RNA". It matches the Rfam family "Bacterial small subunit ribosomal RNA", at positions 28 to 507 of the family's 1533-position model. The record is from RNAcentral.
GAUGAACGCUGGCGGCGUGCCUAAUACAUGCAAGUCGAGCGAACGGACGGGAAGCUUGCUUCUCUGAUGUUAGCGGCGGACGGGUGAGUAACACGUGGAUAACCUACCUAUAAGACUGGGAUAACUUCGGGAAACCGGAGCUAAUACCGGAUAAUAUUUUGAACCGCAUGGUUCAAAAGUGAAAGACGGUCUUGCUGUCACUUAUAGAUGGAUCCGCGCUGCAUUAGCUAGUUGGUAAGGUAACGGCUUACCAAGGCAACGAUGCAUAGCCGACCUGAGAGGGUGAUCGGCCACACUGGAACUGAGACACGGUCCAGACUCCUACGGGAGGCAGCAGUAGGGAAUCUUCCGCAAAGGGCGAAAGCCUGACGGAGCAACGCCGCGUGAGUGAUGAAGGUCUUCGGAUCGUAAAACUCUGUUAUUAGGGAAGAACAUAUGUGUAAGUAACUGUGCACAUCUUGACGGUACCUAAUCAGAAAGCCACGGCUAACUACGUG